GACGAACGCUGGCGGCGUGCCUAAUACAUGCAAGUAGAACGCACAGUUUAUACCGUAGCUUGCUACACCAUAAACUGUGAGUUGCGAACGGGUGAGUAACGCGUAGGUAACCUGCCUGGUAGCGGGGGAUAACUAUUGGAAACGAUAGCUAAUACCGCAUAAUAUUGAUUAUUGCAUGAUAAUUGAUUGAAAGAUGCUAUUGCAUCACUACCAGAUGGACCUGCGUUGUAUUAGCUAGUAGGUGAGGUAACGGCUCACCUAGGCGACGAUACAUAGCCGACCUGAGAGGGUGAUCGGCCACACUGGGACUGAGACACGGCCCAGACUCCUACGGGAGGCAGCAGUAGGGAAGCUUCGGCAAUGGACGAAAGUCUGACCGAGCAACGCCGCGUGAGUGAAGAAGGUUUUCGGAUCGUAAAGCUCUGUUGUAAGAGAAGAACGGGUGUGAGAGUGGAAAGUUCACACUGUGACGGUAUCUGACCAGAAAGGGACGGCUAACUACGUG
This 505-nucleotide ribosomal RNA is filed under the name uncultured bacterium. RNAcentral describes it as "partial 16S ribosomal RNA". It matches the Rfam family "Bacterial small subunit ribosomal RNA", at positions 28 to 507 of the family's 1533-position model. The record is from RNAcentral.